Long non-coding RNA from Sycon ciliatum, 372 nucleotides. RefSeq lists it as uncharacterized. The transcript is spliced from 4 exons. The record is from RefSeq and is a predicted model, not a curated record. NCBI's taxonomy places the organism in Eukaryota, Metazoa, Porifera, Calcarea, Leucosolenida, Sycettidae.
UCAAGGAAAGCACCGUGUUCGUCCCGAAAAUGUGUACUGGGUAUACCGUGUACUGUACUAGGACUGUGUGGCAUGGCAGGCGGUAAAAUCUUGUCUAUCCUCACUUUGUGUUUGGCAGUCGUCGUGUAAACAUCUUCGAUUGCUCUGUUGGUGAUAACAACGCAAGCAGUCAUUCACUGUAUUCAAACGGUGGUGUUUUGCUAGACCUGGUUGCGCUAUGGCUUUCUCUGCACUGAUUGGAUUGGCCCUGCUGGCUAUUCUUCAGCCUGCUUACUCAAAGUUUGAACUAAAUCGAAUUCCUUCACGUACAUGCUUUGGACAAACCGUCCUUAGUAUAAACGUGGCUUAUAUGAUCAGUUGCAUCAGUAAGUG